CACGUGGCGGUGGCUUGCUUUAUAAAGCAGGCAGACCGGCAUCCAGCUUAACUUUUCGAUUUAACAUUAGAAUGGGUAAAAAGAGAGAUCUAAGGGACUUUGAGCGUGGUAUGAUCGUCGGUUCCAGGCGCGCAGGGUCCAGUAUAUCACAAACAGCCGCACUCUUGGGCUUUUCACGCACGGCAGUGUCUGUGGUUUACCGAGAAUGGCGCGACAAACAAAAAACAUCCAGUCAGCGACAGUCCAGUGGGCGUAAACAGCUCGUUGAUAAGAGGGGUCGAAUGAGAUUGGAAAGAAUCGUGCAAACUAACAGGCGGGCUACAAUUAGACAAAUAACGGCGCAGUACAACAGUGGUGUGCAAAACUGCAUCUCUGAAUGCACAACUCGCCGAUCGUUGUCACGGAUGGGCUACAGCAGCAGACGUCGGGCAAACGAAGAGUGGAAAAACACCGCCUGUGUAGAUAAGGUACGGGAACUUGUCCUGGACAACAGCAGAUCAAAUGAAGGGAAAAUCGAAGGUCUCACAGAAGAAUUUGUCAAUCUGGAAUUCCUCAGUUUGAUAAAUGUUGGCUUAUUCUCAGUUUCCAACCUUCCCAGGCUUGGGAAACUCAAAAAGUUGGAACUCAGCGACAACAGAAUCUCUGGUGGCCUUGACGUGUUAGCAGAGAAACUCCCCAACCUCACACAUCUAAAUCUAAGCGGGAACCAACUGAAAGACAUCAGCACGUUGGAACCUUUGAAAAAGCUGGACAGCCUGAAGUCUCUAGACUUGUUCAACUGUGAGGUGACCAACCUGAACGACUACAGGGAGAGUGUGUUCAAGCUGCUCCCUCAGCUCACCUACCUGGAUGGGUACGACGCGGAGGACCGGGAGGCGACCGACUCGGACGGAGAGGUGGACGAUGAUGACGACGACGAUGAGGGAGAGGAUGAGAACGUAGAGGAGGAAGACUUUGACGAGGAGGAUGAUUACUAUAAAGAGGAGAGAGUAGUAGUAGGAGAGGAUGAUGAGAUCAGCGGAGAUAAGGAGGAGGAAGAUCUCGGAAUUGAUGAUGAAGUUGACGAAGAUGAAAUCAAGGCUGUCCAAGGAGAGAAGAGAAAGCAAGAGCCUGACAAAGAUGAUUAUGAGCAGAAAACGACAGCCUAUCAAGUUACCAACCCCUUCUCUCUCCACCCUGACACCCACCCUGCCUACGCCACGACUCUCUCCCAGCUUUGAGUCCGUCUAGGGUAGAGGUCGACCGAUUAAUCGGAAUGGCCGAUUAAUUAGGGCCGAUUUUCAAGUUCUCAAAUCUGUAUUUUUGGGCUCCGAUUUUAUAUAUUUUGUAAAAAAAAUAUUCAUUAAUUUUAUACCU
RNA transcript from Oncorhynchus gorbuscha (pink salmon), 1356 nucleotides. It is a transcript of the gene named acidic leucine-rich nuclear phosphoprotein 32 family member B-like, with no coding region annotated. The transcript has 8 exons. NCBI's taxonomy places the organism in Eukaryota, Metazoa, Chordata, Actinopteri, Salmoniformes, Salmonidae. The record is from RefSeq and is a predicted model, not a curated record.